RNAcentral lists this ribosomal RNA (253 nucleotides) under uncultured bacterium. RNAcentral's name for it is "partial 16S ribosomal RNA". It matches the Rfam family "Bacterial small subunit ribosomal RNA", at positions 524 to 776 of the family's 1533-position model. The record is from RNAcentral.
UACGUAGGGACCGAGCGUUGUCCGGAAUCAUUGGGCGUAAAGAGCGUGUAGGCGGCCACUUAAGUCCUGCGUGAAAUCUUGCGGCUCAACCGCAAGCGGUCGUGGGAAACUGGGUGGCUAGAGUGCGGGAGAGGAGAGUGGAAUGCCCGGUGUAGUGGUGAAAUGCGCAGAUAUCGGGAAGAACACCCGUGGCGAAGGCGGCUCUCUGGGACGGUACUGACGCUGAGACGCGAAAGCGUGGGGAGCGAACAGG